RNAcentral lists this ribosomal RNA (103 nucleotides) under Pteropus alecto (black flying fox). Lineage: Eukaryota; Metazoa; Chordata; Mammalia; Chiroptera; Pteropodidae. The record is from RNAcentral.
GUCUACGGCCAUGCCACCUUGAAAAUGCCCGAUUUCAUCUGAUCUCGGAAGCUGAGCAGGGUUGGGCCUGGAGAUCACCUAGGAAGACCAGGUGCUGCAGGCG